RNAcentral lists this non-coding RNA (207 nucleotides) under Stenotrophomonas koreensis. Lineage: Bacteria; Pseudomonadati; Pseudomonadota; Gammaproteobacteria; Lysobacterales; Lysobacteraceae. The record is from RNAcentral.
UACAAUCGCCGCGCCACUGGUGCCUUGGGUCAGUUCCUGACCCGGGUGAAACGGGAAAGCGGUGCGUCCAUCCGGACCAGGCCGCUGCUGCCCCCGCAACGGUAGGCAGGUGCGGGCAUGCCACAAGGCCACUGGAAGCGGUUUUUCCGGGAAGGCGGCAUGCCAAGACCUGCAAGCCCGGAGACCGGCCACUGGCAAUGCGGAACG